This 365-nucleotide transfer-messenger RNA is filed under the name Alkalibacterium pelagium. RNAcentral describes it as "Standard tmRNA". It matches the Rfam family "transfer-messenger RNA". Rfam says of the family: Bacterial tmRNA, also known as 10Sa RNA or SsrA, is named for its dual tRNA and mRNA-like properties. The record is from Rfam by way of RNAcentral. Lineage: Bacteria; Bacillati; Bacillota; Bacilli; Lactobacillales; Carnobacteriaceae.
GGGGUUGUUACGGAUUCGACAGGCACAGAUUGAGCUUGAGUUGCGUUUCGCAGGUGACGGCUGCGUACCAACGUCACAGUUAAAUUAACUGCAAACAAUAACAACAAUUCUUACGCUUUAGCUGCGUAAAAACAGCUUAGCGUGAUCCGACCGGCAUCGCCCAUGUGCUCGGCACCGGGUCCUAUAAUAAGUGGGAUACGUCUAUUCUUUCCGUCUGUAAGAAUAGAAAGAGAUUAACAGACUAGCGGCGCAUGAUGCCUGUUUUACGGCUAAUGCUUAGCGAAAUCCAAGUAGUAAAACUAUGAACGUAGAUACUUGAGUGCCAAUGUGCCUGGACAGGGGUUCGACUCCCCUCAACUCCAUAG